CUGGAUUGUUUGGGCAACACGGGCUUUGCUACACAAACACAACCAAAAACACUCAUUAUUAACGUUCUAAUGUUGUUUUUUUCUGUAAUAAUCCUACAGAAAACUGCAGUGAGUCUGAUAAAGUGUUUAUAUUCAGUUGAAUAAUCAGAAAAUGGGAAUUAUUCAGUCAGUAAUUUCUCAGGAGCGUCUGAUCGUGUAAACUUCAAACUUCCUGCAUCAGCUUCUUAGAAAAUAUUGAGCCACUUCACAGUGCAUUGCUUUAAGCUCCUGGAAGACGAGGUGCUGGUGGGUACUGAGAUGUAUGAUGCGUAAAUCCAGGAGAUCCUGACCCCUGACCUGCAGAACUGUCUUCAGACGGAGGUCAUGGGGUGAGCAAUGAGGCCCUGAGUCCAGCGCAGUUUACUGAUUCCCCGGCUCUAACCGGGCAGUUAACCCAAUUAAAAGGUGCUGGCUGGAGAGCGGAGGUGCAGAGCAUGAGAAGAGUGGAGCAGAGUGUGUGGGAGCAUGUGGUUAUAAAUGUAAGAGUGUGUGUGUGUGUGUGUGGGUGUGUGUGUGUGAAUAUGC
This 564-nucleotide long non-coding RNA is filed under the name Astyanax mexicanus (Mexican tetra). RNAcentral's name for it is "lncRNA (ENSAMXG00005004122.1)". The record is from RNAcentral. Lineage: Eukaryota; Metazoa; Chordata; Actinopteri; Characiformes; Acestrorhamphidae.